AGGAGUGUAAACAAAAAAGAAGACGAUAUUCCAGUUCCACCCCUGAUUAAAAGUGCUGCUCUCGAGGUCAUGCCGCCCAAGAGGAUUGAGCAUCUACCAGUUAUGCAAACAUCGACUGAUGGUAGUUCUUCUAGUAAUGGCCUACCACUACGUAGGGAGACACGUGGCACACAUUCUGAUCGGCUGCGACGCCAGAUCUCUGCCCAGGGUAGAUUACCUAUUACUUUUCG
Long non-coding RNA from Zingiber officinale, 230 nucleotides. RefSeq lists it as uncharacterized. The transcript is spliced from 3 exons. NCBI's taxonomy places the organism in Eukaryota, Viridiplantae, Streptophyta, Magnoliopsida, Zingiberales, Zingiberaceae. The record is from RefSeq and is a predicted model, not a curated record.